Molecule: non-coding RNA, 998 nt
Organism: Microcebus murinus (gray mouse lemur)
Lineage: Eukaryota; Metazoa; Chordata; Mammalia; Primates; Cheirogaleidae
Source: RefSeq, a predicted model, not a curated record
CGCACCUUUGUGGUCACCUGUGGGAUCGUAGCUGUCACGAUGGGGCGGAUGAGAAGGGCUGAUCAUCUUUACUGCUGUGUGACAAAAUGCUUGGGUUGUGCAGAUCCACUGCGUAGCCACCCCCAUCACUAGGUCUUAUUUUCCGGGUAGGGCUUCUAUUGUGCAAAUGCUUAGAAAUUCUGCUAGGGCUUAUUUUAUGUGUAGGUCUUAUUUUUGGGGAAACGUGGUACUUGUCAGGGAGGAAAGAGUAGAAAUCACAUCAUCAAUCAUUUCUUUUAAGUUAGAUACCCAAAGUGGAAUUACCAGGACCAAGGGUAUGAAAACUUUCAUGGCAGAAUGAAAAUUUUCGGUUUUAACCAGGUUCAUUGCCAGUGCUGUUUGUUACUCCACCAGCUCUACUUCCUUGUGCUUUGCAGGCGUUGCCCCAGCCUAGGAAGCCAAGACAUGUUUCCAGACAAGUGUAGAGGGAAUCAAAUGAGUGAAUGCCCAGGGAACGUGGUGUGAGAUUUGGAAGGCGGCAGUGGAGCAGCAGCCAGUAUGCUGUGAAGGUCGGUGCAGGGUGCCAGGCGCGGCUGCAGCUCAUGUGUGUUGUCGCUGAUCUGCUGGCUUCCUCUGUUGGUGUGGGGCAGCCGCCAGGCUCGCAGCUCCUCCAGCUGCUGCCAGAUCUCCCUCAUCUUCUCUGAGUCCUGAGCCAUGGACAUGCAGCUCUGCAGGGACGGGCACAAGCUGCUUCUGCAGUUCACCUGUGCUUCAAGGUGGGAAACAGGGUGGGUUCCAGUUUGUCCUUUUGAGUCCCUGUUUGUUCUCCCAUGUUCCAACUUGCCUUCACAGAUUCUAGUUUGUCUUUCAGCUUUACUUCCUGACUCCUGGCCUUGCUAGUCCACUGUGACUUCAGAUCCAUCACUGAAUGCAGAGAAGACCUCCUUCCAUGGCUUCUUCACCAGCUCCCGUGAUUGCCUGAGGCCUAAUCCUUUCAAUAAAUUCCUGCUUUCAUACCA